RNAcentral lists this ribosomal RNA (522 nucleotides) under uncultured archaeon. RNAcentral describes it as "bacterial SSU rRNA". It matches the Rfam family "Archaeal small subunit ribosomal RNA", at positions 325 to 849 of the family's 1478-position model. The record is from RNAcentral.
ACGGGGUGCAGCAGGCGCGAAACCUUUACAAUGUGCGAAAGCAUGAUAAGGGAACUCCGAGUGCCAGUAUCUAAUACUGGCUGUCCUUGUGCCUAAAACGCACAAGAUAGCAAGGGCCGGGUAAGACCGGUGCCAGCCGCCGCGGUAACACCGGCGGCCCGAGUGGUAGCCGCUAUUAUUGGGUCUAAAGGGUCCGUAGCCGGUUCGAUAAGUCCUCUGGGAAAUCUGGUUGCUUAACAAUCAGACUGCCAAGGGAUACUGUCGAACUUGAGACCGGGAGAGGUAAGAGGUACUUCAGGGGUAGGAGUGAAAUCUUGUAAUCCCUGGGGGACCAUCUGUGGCGAAGGCGUCUUACCAGAACGGGUCUGACGGUGAGGGACGAAAGCUGGGGGCGCAAACCGGAUUAGAUACCCGGGUAGUCCCAGCCGUAAACGAUGCUCGCUAUGUGUCAGGUACGGUGUGACCGUAUCUGGUGCCGUAGGGAAGCCGUGAAGCGAGCCACCUGGAAGUACGUCGCAAGAC